RNAcentral lists this ribosomal RNA (460 nucleotides) under uncultured bacterium. RNAcentral's name for it is "partial 16S ribosomal RNA". It matches the Rfam family "Bacterial small subunit ribosomal RNA", at positions 338 to 795 of the family's 1533-position model. The record is from RNAcentral.
CCUACGGGCGGCAGCAGUGAGGAAUAUUGGUCAAUGGGCGGGAGCCUGAACCAGCCAAGUCGCGUGAGGGAAGACGGUCCUAUGGAUUGUAAACCUCUUUAGGCGGGGAGCAAUGCCGGGCACGCGUGCCCGGAGGGAGAGUACCCGCAGAAUAAGCAUCGGCUAACUCCGUGCCAGCAGCCGCGGUAAUACGGAGGAUGCGAGCGUUAUCCGGAUUUAUUGGGUUUAAAGGGUGCGUAGGCGGAUUUUUAAGUCAGCGGUAAAAUGUCCGGGCUCAACCCGGGCCGGCCGUUGAAACUGCCUUGCUGGAAUGCGGAUGCCGUGGGAGGAAUGUGUAGUGUAGCGGUGAAAUGCAUAGAUAUCACACAGAACACCGAUUGCGAAGGCAUCUCACGAAUCCGCGAUUGACGCUGAUGCACGAAAGCGUGGGUAUCAAACAGGAUUAGAUACCCUUGUAGUC